RNAcentral lists this long non-coding RNA (2471 nucleotides) under Triticum aestivum (bread wheat). Its description in RNAcentral is "long non-coding RNA (TAES_LNC012105)". Lineage: Eukaryota; Viridiplantae; Streptophyta; Magnoliopsida; Poales; Poaceae. The record is from RNAcentral.
AGGGCUCAGAUUCGCCUUUGAUAUAUCAUACAACCUAGCUCCACCAUCUUCUUUCACCAGAUCAACCCCCACCAAUGAAGUCGAGCUCCUCUGGUUAUCACUCAACAGAAUGACCAUCCAAGAGAGAGCCGUCAAUAUUCAGUGAGAAUGAAAAGGUUCGAAAAGAGGGGGGAGUGGGUUUUUUAAGCCCACAGCUCCUCGAAUAAUCGAAGAAAAGUUUAUGUCAGCCAAAUUUUAUCAUCAUCGCCCCAGAUAAGUUUCCGACAUGGUUCACCCAAAAGGUAGGGUGGGAAACCACCUGAAGGACGGCGUCGAAUCGAGAAGGAGAAGCGCCGGCGACGAGAGAGAACGAGAUCCAGAAAGAGGGAGACGAGAGGGACGAAUGAGAGGACGAAAGGGUGGGUCGCUGCCCUCCCCCACCCCAUAGCCGGACGAGCAAACCACCGCACGCCACGCACGACCCCCGGGAGCGAAAAGACCGAAACACCCUCGGCGGGGGCAGGAUUUUACGUGCGGUGGCAUGAGAUCUUUCCCCCGCCGACGCGCGCGACGGGGCGACCGGGCCGGAACCAAGCCACGGUCGCUGACAACAGAGGCCCACCCGCGAACGGACCCACACAUCAGCGACUUUAGAACGGUAAAAACGAAGUAAAAACGAGCGGGGGGAGGCGCCAGCAAUAGAUUUUUUCGAUCCGAUUUUGAUCCGACGGCGCAGAUUCCUCCAGAUGUCGAUCCAACGGACGAAAACGCAUCAAGCGGCCCGAUCCAACGGCUGAGAACCGCGAUCGCUGAGGAGCCUCCGGCAUCCACUCGUCUCUUAUUCCAACAUGGUUCAUUUUGUGCUGAGCUUUUCCAAAAAGGGUCAAAACACUGAUUUCGGCCGCAGCAUGGUACACACAUGCAUGCAUGCAUGCAUACGUCACUCGGGUUGAGAGUUCUGACACCAUUGACAAUGUCAAGGCCAAGAUCAAGGACAAGGAGGGCAUCCGCCCUGACCAGCAGGGCCUUAUCUUUGCUGGUAAGCAGCUGGACGAUGGCCGCAGCCUCACUGACUACAACAACCCGAAGGAGUCCACCCUUCACCUGCUGUCACCUCCGUGGUGGCCAUCCAUCCAUCAGUCUGAGGAGCUGCUCAUACCUGGCCUCAACUAACCAAACCUCCAGCUCGGAGCACACCUCUCAGAUAACACCGUGCGGUUCCCAGCCCACGCCACAACCGGAUCCAAGGCAAUGGAAUGUCGGUGGCUGGCGGCACCAUAGCGACGGGACUGAGAGGGCGGCCACCGAAAUGAUGGGUCAGUCAGCAAGUCCGGCUGUAGAUGCUCUUAGUAUCCACCACCACCAGCACCAGUGUCUUGAUUGCUCAAGACAAUGAUUAUUUCAGCAACAAUCUUCAUCAUAGCUCCGCCACUAUUUUCUCUGAUGAGAAAGAGGUUGCACACCAAGCAACAUGACCAUGAUAUUUCUUUACAGAGGGAGUACACAUCACAUUCAUGCAUGCGUGCACGCAUGGAGCGAUCAGGUUCAGGGGCUGCUCAUACCUGGCGUCAGCCGACCAAACCUCCCAGCGCGGAACACGCAUCAGACCACAAACACCGUACGGUUCCAAGCCCACGCCGCAACCAAAUCCAAGCCAAUGGAGCGGCGGCGGCUGGCGGCGCUGUAGCGGUGCGGAACUGACGCGGCGGCCACCGGGAGGAUGGUUCAGCGAUCCGGCAACGAGCGCUCGCCUGAUUCGGGUUAGGGUUUGGGUUCAGGUGCGGGCGUCCACACCGAGGGAGAGAGAGAGGGAGGGAGUAUGCAGGGGAGCACUAACCAGGACAGGACGGAGGUAGUACCAAAUCCUAAGCAAGAUGCAGCCAAGCGAGAAAUCCAUGGACGGCGGCUCAGAUCAGAUCCCGCGCCAGCCCGGCCAAGCCCUUGAUCGAAACCCGCCGCUCGGUCCCCAGCCCACACGGCCGUGGACGGCUCCCGCAGCGGCGGCGGCCCCGAGGGGCCUCCAAGCCAAUGCGCGGUCCGGCGCGGGGGAGGGGAGGGGCUGGCCCCGAGGAGCGGCGAGUCCGUCCGUCGGUCGGCUGCCUCCACCAUCAUCCCGUCGUUCGCCCGCCCUCUCAGUCCGAGGCCGAGGCGGCCGCGCGAACCAGAGCAGCCCGGCCGCCUCGGCCUCCGUGAGCGUGAGCAGGCAUCCCGGUCGAGCUCCCGGCGGCGAAGGAGAUGACGGCGGCUGGGUAGGGAGGCGAGCGCGGGGUAGGGUGGGAAACCACCUGAAGGACGGUGUCGAAUCGAGUAGGAGAAGCGCCGGCGACGAGAGAGAACGAGAUCCAGAAAGAGGGAGACGAGAGGGACGAAUGAGAGCACGAAAGGGUGGGUCGCUGCCCUCCCCCACCCCAUAGCCGGACGAGCAAACCACCGCACGCCACGCACGACCCCCGGGAGCGAAAAGACCGAAACACCCUCGGCGGGGGCAGGAU